Molecule: ribosomal RNA, 207 nt
Filed under: uncultured bacterium
Lineage: Bacteria
Description: partial 16S ribosomal RNA
Rfam family: Bacterial small subunit ribosomal RNA
Source: RNAcentral
UGCGCAGGCGGAAAAGUGUGUCAGGUGUGAAAUCCCAGGGCUUAACUCUGGAACUGCGCCUGAAACUGCUAUUCUUGAGUCUCGGAGAGGUAAGCGGAAUUUGUGGUGUAGCGGUGAAAUGCGUAGAUAUCACAAGGAACACCAAAGGCGAAGGCAGCUUACUGGACGAGCACUGACGCUCAUGCACGAAAGCGUGGGUAGCGAAAG